CAACUAGAUUGGCUAAUCUACCGGAAGAUUUACAACCAGAAGAAUGGGAAUGGAUGAUUGAGUACUUUGGCACUGAUUUAAAAUUCCAGGAACGCAGCCAAAAGAACACCGAUAACCGUAAGAAACAGAAGAAAAAACACAGAAUUGGAUCAAAAUCUUACUCGCAAAGAAACCCGGAAG
This is a long non-coding RNA of Hordeum vulgare subsp. vulgare (domesticated barley), 180 nucleotides long. RefSeq lists it as uncharacterized. The record is from RefSeq and is a predicted model, not a curated record. The transcript is spliced from 3 exons. Lineage: Eukaryota; Viridiplantae; Streptophyta; Magnoliopsida; Poales; Poaceae.